AAGGGGUUCUGGAGGGUUGUCCCAAAUCAGUGUGUCUGUGCGUGUGUUUGGGGCUUUUUAGGGUUUUGGUGCCCCUUAUUUGACUAGUUGCAUUUCCUCGGCCUGGGGUAUCCUUUCCUUCCUGUUCUCAUGUUUCUCUGUUGAUUGCCUAUUUGAGUGAAUUUGUUUAGGGGUGUGGGGUUUGUCUGCUCUGCCACUUGAUUUGGUGAGGGAGAUGGCUUAUCCCCUGAGAGAGGAGGCAAAGAACUGUACAACUCUGCAUGUCAUCCUUAUCAGAGGAAUAUUCUCCAUCUGGAUCCCCAAACAAAAAUUCAUGAGUGAAACACUCUCCAGGGGCCUUUACUAGCUGAUGAACAUCUGCUCCUAAAAAAGUACCUGAAUAGCCUACUGGGGAAAAGUAUGUACAAUAAUUCAAUUCGCUAAUAAAAUAUACAUAAAAAAUUAAAAAUAAGUAAUGCCCAAGGAGAGAAAGUGUGAAAUGUUACCAUCCAUACUGGAGAUUCGCUGGAAGAGAGUAGAGAAAUGGAAAACAGGUACUUAAUGUCAAAGGUGCUAGUGAGUAAAAGAGUAGGAAUUCAGCUCCUUACCAGGAGAACACAGUCUGUGUCUUGCAGUUCAUUCAUUGCCACAUGUAUAUCAUGUAGACAAACAUGGGGAAAGUCCUCCACACCAGUGGCCAUUAGGAAGCACUGAAAUCCAGGAACCCCAGCCUUCAGCAUUGGUAGGAGCUCAGCCUAAGAGAUAGCACAAGGACAAGCACUUGGAAAGUUUGCUAAUAAUAUGAAGAAAGCAGAAGAAUGGCUGAGUUGUGAAUUAAGUUCUGCCCUCUUGUAAUUUCUGCACAUAUUCAGCUUCAAUUGAGUUUUCAAUUUAAAUGCAAACUGAAUCUAAAUUUUCACCUACCCCUAUGAGGAUGAGCAGAGUUCAUUUCCCACUUCCAACAAUUUGCUGCAAUUCGUUCAUACACAUAUGGAAUUAGAACUGGGAUUUCAAGCCAAGUGAUUUAUUUCAAGCCACAUCUCUUAUUUUCAAAACUGUGUACUGUAUUGUACUGUUUCCAGAGCUCUUGCAUAGGGUGCAGUGUAACUUAGGGUUGCCAUAUGUACGGAAUUUCCUGGACAUAGCUGGCAAUCGGUCAUCGGAAAUCGUGUCUGGAUGGAAAUUGCUGAAAAGCUCAAAAACGUUUCUGGCCAGGUUUUCACUUUUUGAAAUACAGCAACCCUAGUAUAACUAAAAACAUGGCAGAAUCCUCCAUCCAUUUGCAGCCUCUUACUUUUAAUGGAUCAUGCUAUCUAAAGGAACACUUUCAUUUCUGCAGCCCUCUCUAUUUCUCUUGCCUUCAUGGCCCCCCUCCAAAGUACAUAAGACACAAGGGAGCUGAUGCCAUUUCAUUGCUGGAUACAAACCUGAUUUCCAGGAAUGAUGCCACCCCAAAAUGCAACAUCAACAUGGCACUUUCCCUUGGCAGACUGGAGCU
This is a long non-coding RNA of Podarcis raffonei (Aeolian wall lizard), 1477 nucleotides long. RefSeq lists it as uncharacterized. Lineage: Eukaryota; Metazoa; Chordata; Lepidosauria; Squamata; Lacertidae. The record is from RefSeq and is a predicted model, not a curated record. The transcript is spliced from 3 exons.